CCUACGGGACGCAGCAGUCGGGAAUAUUGCGCAAUGGAGGAAACUCUGACGCAGUGACGCCGCGUAUAGGAAGAAGGUUUUCGGAUUGUAAACUAUUUUCGUGAGGGAAGAAAUUGACAGUACCUCAGGAGGAAGCUCCGGCUAACUACGUGCCAGCAGCCGCGGUAAUACGUAGGUGGCGAGCGUUAUCCGGAAUGAUUGGGCGUAAAGGGUGCGUAGGCGGCCUGCUAAGUCUGGAGUGAAAGGUACCGGCUCAACCGGUACAGGCUCUGGAAACUGGCGGGCUAGAGAGCAGGAGAGGGCGG
RNAcentral lists this ribosomal RNA (305 nucleotides) under uncultured bacterium. RNAcentral's name for it is "bacterial SSU rRNA". It matches the Rfam family "Bacterial small subunit ribosomal RNA", at positions 338 to 661 of the family's 1533-position model. The record is from RNAcentral.